AGUAAUACUUGGGCAAUCUGCCCUUGAGAGGGAAACAACCUGCCGAAAGGCGGGCUAAUGUCCCAUAAGACCACAGGAAUGCAUAUUCCAGGGGUCAAAGCUCCGCAAGGGGCGCUUAAGGAGGAGCCCGAGUCCUAUCAUGGUUGUUGGUGAGGUAACGGCUCACCAAGCCUUUGACGGGUAGCCGGCCUGAAAGGGUGACCGGCCACACUGGCACUGAGACACGGGCCAG
Molecule: ribosomal RNA, 232 nt
Filed under: uncultured bacterium
Lineage: Bacteria
Description: partial 16S ribosomal RNA
Rfam family: Bacterial small subunit ribosomal RNA
Source: RNAcentral